GACGAACGCUGGCGGCGUGCUUAACACAUGCAAGUCGAACGGAAAGGCCCCUUUGGGGGUCCUCGAGUGGCGAACGGGUGAGUAACACGUGAGUAACCUGCCCUUGACUUCGGGAUAACUUCAGGAAACUGGGGCUAAUACCGGAUAGGAAUCCUUGCUGCAUGGUGGGGGUUGGAAAGCUUCGGCGGUUUUGGAUGGACUCGCGGCUUAUCAGCUUGUUGGUGGGGUAGUGGCUUACCAAGGCUUUGACGGGUAGCCGGCCUGAGAGGGCGACCGGCCACAUUGGGACUGAGAUACGGCCCAGACGCCGACGGGAGGCAGCAGUGGGGAAUAUUGCACAAUGGGCGGAAGCCGGAUGCAGCAACGCCGCGUGCGGGAUGACGGCCUUCGGGUUGUAAACCGCUUUCAGCAGGGGCGAAGCUUGUGGUGACGGUACCUGCAGAAGAAGCACCGGCUAACUACGUG
Molecule: ribosomal RNA, 465 nt
Filed under: uncultured bacterium
Lineage: Bacteria
Description: partial 16S ribosomal RNA
Rfam family: Bacterial small subunit ribosomal RNA
Source: RNAcentral